RNAcentral lists this ribosomal RNA (963 nucleotides) under human gut metagenome. RNAcentral's name for it is "bacterial LSU rRNA". It matches the Rfam family "Bacterial large subunit ribosomal RNA", at positions 1963 to 2925 of the family's 2925-position model. The record is from RNAcentral.
AAUUCCUUGUCGGGUAAGUUCCGACCUGCACGAAUGGCGUAACGAUCUCCACGCUGUCUCGGCCAGAGACUCGGUGAAAUUGAAGUCGCGGUGAAAAUGCCGUGUACCCGCAGAAAGACGGAAAGACCCUGUGCACCUUUACUAUAGCUUGACAUUGGGAUUUGAACCUGCAUGUGUAGGAUAGGUGGGAGGCUGUGAACUCUGUACGCUAGUAUGGAGGGAGCCAUUGUUGAAAUACCACCCUUGUUUUUUCAGGUCCCUAACCCUCAGCCGUAAGCCGGCGAGGGAACAGUGUCUGGUGGGUAGUUUGACUGGGGCGGUCGCCUCCUAAAAUGUAACGGAGGCAUGCAAAGGUUCCCUCAGGCUGAUUGGAAACCAGCCGUCGAGUGCAAACGCAUAAGGGAGCUUGACUGCGAGAGAGACAUCUCGAGCAGGUACGAAAGUAGGUGUUAGUGAUCCGGUGGUCCCGAAUGGAAGGGCCAUCGCUCAUUGGAUAAAAGGUACGCCGGGGAUAACAGGCUGAUCGCAUCCAAGAGUUCACAUCGACGAUGCGGUUUGGCACCUCGAUGUCGGCUCAUCACAUCCUGGGGCUGAAGCAGGUCCCAAGGGUACGGCUGUUCGCCGUUUAAAGUGGUACGCGAGCUGGGUUUAAAACGUCGUGAGACAGUUUGGUCCCUAUCUUCUGUGGGCGCUGGAGAAUUGAAAGGGCCUGUCCCUAGUACGAGAGGACCGGGAUGGACGCACCCCUGGUGGACCUGUUGUCGUGCCAACGGCAUAGCAGGGUAGCUAUGUGCGGAAGGGAUAACCGCUGAAAGCAUCUAAGCGGGAAGCCUGCCUUAAGAUAAGUUCUCCCUGACGCAAGUCCUGAAGGGCCGAGGUAGACUACCUCGUUGAUAGGCUGGGGGUGGAAGCGCCGCGAGGCGUGGAGCUGACCAGUACUAAUAGCCCGUGAGGCUUGUUCUC